CCUACGGGAGGCAGCAGUCGAGAAUCAUUCACAAUGGGGGAAACCCUGAUGGUGCGACGCCGCGUGGGGGAAUGAAGGUCUUCGGAUUGUAAACCCCUGUCAUGUGGGAGCAAAUUAAAAAGAUAGUACCACAAGAGGAAGCGACGGCUAACUCUGUGCCAGCAGCCGCGGUAAUACAGAGGUCUCAAGCGUUGUUCGGAAUCACUGGGCGUAAAGCGUGCGUAGGCUGUUUCGUAAGUCGUGUGUGAAAGGCGCGGGCUAAACACGCAGACUGCACAUGAUACUGCGAGACUAGAGUAAGGGAGGGGGAACCGGAAUUCUCGGUGUAGGAGUGAAAUGCGUAGAUAUCGGGAGGAACACUCGUGGCGAAGGCGGGUUCCUGGACAUUAACUGACGCUGAGGCACGAAGGCCAGGGGAGCGAAAGGGAUUAGAUACCCGUGUAGUC
RNAcentral lists this ribosomal RNA (446 nucleotides) under uncultured bacterium. RNAcentral's name for it is "partial 16S ribosomal RNA". It matches the Rfam family "Bacterial small subunit ribosomal RNA", at positions 338 to 795 of the family's 1533-position model. The record is from RNAcentral.